CAAACUGACACAGAACAACCUACCAAAAACAGUAACAGACAAGAAACAAUACAUUCAAGAUGUCAGGGGGUUAUUGCAGAUAGGGAAGAAGUGGUAUUCUCUACAGGGAAAGUGCGGUAUACUCAAUAAAAAGUGCUUAAACAGUGCCAUUUAGGUACUGGACAGCUUGGGGGAAGAAACCCCAAUUGUCAAUGGAGAAAUUGUAUUGGAUUCUUACUUCCGGAAUCGGCUGUGGGCGGGACUGUCAAGGUCUGUGGGUCAGAGCUGUGCACCGUACAUCUUUCUCAUCCUGACUUUCCUGUCUGUCAGGUCACAAAUAUUUACAUAGGACAGACUAUAACAACUAAGUCGGUUUGCUGGUGGUUUUCUCUUGUGUUUUUCUAAGGUGUUUUGCUGGUUGACCAGCUUGUUUGACCACCCUUCAAUUAUGAUGGUAAUUUAGCUGGUUUUGCUUGUCUUACCACCUCAAGCUGGUCAUUUUAGCUGGAGAAAUGGCUGUAGCUUUUACAGUACAGAACAUCAAAAGUCCUACAGAAUUAUACAAUAUUACUGCACAGUACUGGAGCUGAUAUUGCAUCUUGGGUAAUAUUUGCAAGGCGGGAUUAUUGUACAGUAGUUUACGGUACAUUUCAUGUUUACUGUACAACGAGAUUCUAUUUGCUGUAACUCUGCUCUCACUCAGGUUCAGGACCAACAAACACGUUAAACACGUUACAUAAGAGUGAAGUUGAAGUUGGACAAUCAAGGCAGAGGCACAGGCUCUCUGCAAGGCACAAAGGCCAAUCACUGGUGACAUCUAGAAAAUGGAUGUUGUUUGCUGCAGCUUUUUCAACACUUCGCAACCUACUACAGUACGCGCUGAACAUGCAGUACCAAGAGGAUGCAGCAUGCACCUUAGAGGUUGUACAAAGAUUCAUGGUGAGAAUUAAUCCAGAGGAAGGAAAGAAGUGCUCGGCCAGACGGUGUGGGUAAGAAGACUAGUUCAGGAAACUAGUUCAGAAGAAAGCUGUCCCUAUCAGCCCCCAUGUAAACAUCUUUAUCCGGUCCCUUUUAGACUUUGAGUGGCAGACCUCCAACUAAAGUAUGGUAAACAGACCUUGUUGAAUUGCUGGAUGCAUCUCUCUUGUUAAAGAAACACAGUAAGUUACAGUACAGUGGUCCUACAGUAGGCUACAGUGUGAGAGUCAACAAGACAAGAGGAAGCGUAUGACAUGACGGAAAUUAGGGACACACACGCAUGCCAGCAUCGUUCAACAAGCACAUUGAUCAAAUGUUAGCCUACCUGAGGGGGAUGAUGACACGCAGGAAACGAUCAACAGUCAGUGCCAGCUGGAAGAAGACAGACACCCGA
Molecule: long non-coding RNA, 1351 nt
Organism: Alosa sapidissima (American shad)
Lineage: Eukaryota; Metazoa; Chordata; Actinopteri; Clupeiformes; Clupeidae
Exons: 6
Source: RefSeq, a predicted model, not a curated record